AGAGACAGCAGUCGCCGCGGUAAUACGGAGGGUGCAAGCGUUAUCCGGAUUUAUUGGGUUUAAAGGGUCCGUAGGCGGACUUAUAAGUCAGUGGUGAAAGCCUGUCGCUUAACGAUAGAACUGCCAUUGAUACUGUAAGUCUUGAGUAUAUUUGAGGUAGCUGGAAUAAGUAGUGUAGCGGUGAAAUGCAUAGAUAUUACUUAGAACACCAAUUGCGAAGGCAGGUUACCAAGAUAUAACUGACGCUGAGGGACGAAAGCGUGGGUAGCGAACAGGAUUAGAUACCCCUGUAGUCCCUGUCUCUUAUAA
This 309-nucleotide ribosomal RNA is filed under the name uncultured bacterium. Its description in RNAcentral is "partial 16S ribosomal RNA". It matches the Rfam family "Bacterial small subunit ribosomal RNA", at positions 504 to 809 of the family's 1533-position model. The record is from RNAcentral.